Molecule: long non-coding RNA, 425 nt
Organism: Astatotilapia calliptera (eastern happy)
Lineage: Eukaryota; Metazoa; Chordata; Actinopteri; Cichliformes; Cichlidae
Source: Ensembl
GAAACGAAGUUCACUUUCUCACUGUAAAUACUGAAGCUUGUUGUGCUUCUCCGCCAUGGACGGAUCACUGUGUGUGGACAAUGAAUACAGAUGGUGGCACCAAUGUUGAGCUGAAGGACUUGCAACUGUGGAUGGAAAGCUGUUCAAGUAAUAUUACUAUGACCGAGAACCUUCACAGACAUACUUACAUAAACCUAAAAGUUAGGGUUACUGAAGUUGGACUACCUGGUAUAUAAUGUUGUGCUACGUGAUUGCUAGCGACACAGCUAUGUUAGCAUAACAUUAGCACAGUGAAGCUGGAGGAUGAACGCCAACUUUUUUUCCACUCGAUAAAAGUUAACGUGAGGGAUUCUGGUGGUCAGGGACAAAUGCAAUCGCAUGGCAGGAUGCUGUAAACGGACCAAACUUCAGUCAGGAGAACAACU